This 4167-nucleotide long non-coding RNA is filed under the name Sus scrofa (pig). Its description in RNAcentral is "lncRNA (ENSSSCG00000048066.1)". The record is from RNAcentral. Lineage: Eukaryota; Metazoa; Chordata; Mammalia; Artiodactyla; Suidae.
AAGGGGGUCUGCUUGUUUACAGCUUGUCAAAUUGUUUAUCCUGGAGUGCCUCAGCUGCUUCACAAAUAAAAUACAGAUUCAUUCAUUCAUUGAAUUCUUCAUUCAGCAGAUAAUUAUUUAGCUUCUGCUAUGUCCUAGGCACUAUUCUAUAUAUCUGGAAUAUGUUAGUGAACAAAAGAAGGACCGCUGAUGUUCCUGUGGAACUCAUACAUUCUCUAAGGGGGACACACAGAAAAACAUCAAAUGUAAGAGAUGAGUAAAUAAUACGUUAGUAGGUGGUAAUGCUAAGGAAGCAAGAGUGGAAAAGGUAGGGGUGGGAUAGACUGUAGGUCCCUGAGGCAUAGUGCAGUUUUAAAUAGGGUGGUCAGGGUAGGCCAAGUGAGAGUCUUUGCCAAGUGUCUGGGCAAAGACUUCGAGGUGAAGGACUUAGCCAAGUGGAAAUCUGGGGGCAGCAUGUUCCAGGAAGAGUAUCACAUCUGGAGCAAAGGUCAAAUUUGGGAGCAGAUCAUGCAAAGCUAUGCAGGCUGCGUUACAGACUUCAGUUUUGCUCUAUGGGAAAUGAGCAGCCACUGCUGGAUUUCUAGCAAGCCAUUGGUAUUUUCAAAGUUGUGGAGAAUCUUUACCAUAGGAAGCAUGAAUAGGAGCGGAGUCAUAAGGACCUGUAGGAUUUGGGACAUAUUUUGAAGAGGGGGCCAGUCAACACCAAGAUUUUGAUGCAAGCAUCCAGAGUGAUGGUGAUGCCUGCAGGAGGUUUUGUUGCAGACAGAGCAAAUCAAGGGUAAAUUAUUUCUAGGGUUUCUUGAUCUUUGGUGAUCUCUGUUGUGGCUUGAAUCCAAAAGCCUCUUCUCUGACUUGGUGUUUCUCACAAACCUUAUUGCCAGUCCUCCUCUUUAGCUUUGCAGCCCUUCAAGUCUUAGCUUUAGGGAGGAAGAGUAGCCUCAUUUGCCAGGCAGCCUAUACGCUGGUUCCUCUUACUCAGUGCUUAGGUGUAAAUCUCUCCGCUAAGUGUCUUCCCUCUGGACACUGGACCUAGAGUGAAUAUGAAUGACUCCUAGUUGAGGGGAGAAAACCUUCCUAGUACUUUCAAUAUUUUCUUUACUUUUUUUUUCAUAAGAGUAAUUUUUUUUCGUUUUUCUUUUCUUUUCUUUUUUUCCUUUUUGGCCCCUCUACGGUGUAUGUGGAGUUCCCUGGCCAGGGGUCAGAUCUGAGCCCCAGUUGCUACCUGAGGCGCAGCUGUGGCAACAUUGGAUCCUUUAAUUCACUGUGUGCCGCAAAGAUGCCACCCAUCCUGUUGUAGCACAGAGGGAACGCCAAGAUUGAUUUUUUUCUUAUAAAUUUUUCUUAAAAUUAUAUAUUAUAAUAAUUUAAGUUUUAGAAGCAAAACUGAUCCUCAUUUUGUAGCAUUAAGGGUUAAUUUCUCUAGGUAAGGAGAACAUGGACAUGUUUCUUCUAGUUUUAUCAGAAUGUUUGAACCUUGAGCAGGAAAAAUUCCUCUUAAGGAUGAGCAGGAAAUGUACUUUCCCUAUCAAUCUUAUCACUUACUUCUUUAUUUUGGGUCAUCUGUAGGGAUUGUUGGGUUUACAGCCGACAGAAUGAGUUUUAAAAUAUGCCAACUGGCCACCAGGACCUGGGUUGAAACUAUAAACUGAUUUUAUUCAGGUCUCUGCAUAAGUGUGAUAGAGGCAUUGGUCCCCAUGGUCAAGUUUGCACUAAAGUCAUUGCACAGCAAAACCUCCCAAGGCUACAUUUUUAUGUUUCAUUUUCAGACUGUUGGUGCCAAAGGAGCAAUUAAAAUGUGUGAAUGAUGUCUAUUUCCCUCUUGAUAAAUAAUGUGGAUGGCCUACAGUCUGUUCAUAUUCAUGGCAAGGGAUUUAACAGGCUAUUGUGUUAGUAACAAUGUGGAUGCAAAUUAUAAACAUUUAUCAUCUCAAAGUUUCAUGCCAUUUUCAAAGCAAUGUCAGUUGAAACAGAUGCUCUAAACCCCCCCCCAAAAAAACAAUCUUUAGAUGAUUUCUCCACAUUCUCCCAAAACAAUUUGUCUCUCAGUAACUUCUAUUUAUUAUAUCAAAUAAUAUUGCAAAAUCUACUAGAAAGUGAAGUGUAGAGGAUAAAAAUUUUAAUGUAAUAUCCUCUAAAAUUGAUUUCCUAUCUCUCUAGAUGCUGUGAGCUAUUAUUAAAGUAUAUCAAUAACAACUUCCAUGUGCUGGAAGGUAAUAAUAAGUUCCCUGUGCAUGUUUAUUACCAUGUAUAUUAGGAGGUAAACUACAUAUAUGCUAAUGACAAUUUCCCAAUAUAUUUAUCUAUUUAUCUCAGAAUUUUACAAUUGAUAUUCUCUUCACUCCGGAAAAUCACUGAUCCUAACAGAAAAGUCUAAAGAUUUGAAAGUCUUAAACUUGAAGGGAUAUUUUGCCAAGGGGAAAAGACUCUUUAAGAAUUAUUAUAUUGGAAUUCCCUUGUGACACAGUGGAAUUCCCUCUGGCAUUGUCACUGCAGCAGCUCUGGUCACUGCAUGUGGAAAUACAGAGAAACAUAAAUCGUGGACUUGACCUCAAGGGGCUUAUUAUCUAGUUAGUAGGAUGGUCAAAGUUAAAAUAUACAUGGACAUAGGAGACAAUAAUCUCAUAAUUAAAUGGAUAUCAGAGAAGCAUAUUUUAGGCAUUUUGAAAGGAAAUAUUGUGAGAUAAUCAGGAAAGAUUUUAUGGAAGAAGUGGAAUUAGGCAGAGAUUAGGGGAGGUGAACUCUUGAUAGGCGAAAAGGAGGGAGUAGGUAAUGUGUUGAUGAAAAAUACCCCAAAAGAUGAAGGCAAGAGAAGCUCAGAGGCUUGGGGGUAGUGGUGGUAGGAUUGGGAGGUGAUAAGUUUAGAGAGAGGGAUAGAUUUAUGGCAAUGAGAGGAAGCAAAGCCUGGUAAUCAAUGUGCAAAAGCCUAAAGCAUUUAGAUCCUACUCUGAGGCCCAUCUACUAUGGGGAGGUUCGUUUCUUGUAUAAGGAUUCAGGCAGAGUAGAGAUUAAGUCCCAGCUCCACCGCCUAUGAACUGUAGGGUAUUUAGUGAUUUAACUUCUUUGAACUUCAAUUUGCCCUCUGCCCUCUAUCCAAUGGAGAUUCUACCCACCAAGCAGGGUUGUGAAGGCUACAUGAAACAACACUUCAUUGUUACAUUAUCUAUCACCUCCUCUCCAGUAAAUGGGUGGGGCAGGGAAGCUACAGUAAGGGCUUGUGAAGAGCAAAGUGACAUCAUUAAAGGGAUGGCUGUGGCAUUAGAGGAUUAUUCAUUUUGUGAUGGUGUGCAGGAUGAACUGAGGAAGGGGAGCAUGCGUGGGUUGGAGGUGAGCGGAUUCAGGAAAACAAGUUUAUUUGACCACACCCAGGGUCCCAAAUAGCCAGACUGGCCACGGCCAAGCCAGUGGAAGUGACAAAAUGAUUGUCAGAAGGGAAGACCGAAGGGAUUUGGUAACGAUAGAGCCAAAUGUAAAAAAGUGAGAUUCAGAGGAAAAAUCAGCAGACUCCAGGAUGAAGAAAGAAGUAUCAAACAGUAGAACAAAGUAUUAAGGUUGAAAAACUUCUAACAGACGUUUGUGUUUGGGUGCUUUCUGCUUUGUUCUGCUCUGUCUGCCCAGUGCCCUAUCCUCCCCUUUCCUUGGGGUUAGCUCUUCUCUCCCUUUGAUGACAUGUCUGUAUCUGGCAAAUCAGAGCCCUUUAUUGUCUUGGCACAAUGACUGGUCUGGAGGUGAGCUUGUCAUAAGCCUGGGCCAGCCAGAGUCCUUCCCCAGGAUUUUCCUACCUGAGAUAAAUCAAAUCCUCUUGACCUCUCUGGGUAUAGAAGCUAGAAGGAUAUCUAGAGUAAACUGAUGGCAGGAGUAUGUGAAGCCAAACAGAGACCACAGGGGAGUUGAGGAGAAGCAGAAGGAUGGAUUUAGAGGUUGAUGAUGUUAUUAGUUCCAUUUCCCAAGAUCCACAGAAUUGCCCUGAUUUCUGUAGGAUUCCUUGUGAAAUUUCUGUGAACUUUGAUCCCUCUAACAAAUCCUCUUCUGUUUAAGCUAGGUUAUGCAACAGAGACACCACUAGAUUUGACUUCAGAAAAGUUAAAUUUCCUAUAAGCCAAAGUAUUAUGAACAAAACCAAGUUGAAUAAACUGGGAAACAUUCCCCGUUGGAAACAAAUACAAUAUG